Molecule: ribosomal RNA, 301 nt
Filed under: uncultured bacterium
Lineage: Bacteria
Description: partial 16S ribosomal RNA
Rfam family: Bacterial small subunit ribosomal RNA
Source: RNAcentral
CAGUCGCCGCGGGAAUACAGAGGGUGCAAGCGUUAAUCGGAAUUACUGGGCGUAAAGCGCGCGUAGGUGGUUUGUUAAGUUGGAUGUGAAAUCCCCGGGCUCAACCUGGGAACUGCAUCCAAAACUGGCAAGCUAGAGUAUGGUAGAGGGUGGUGGAAUUUCCUGUGUAGCGGUGAAAUGCGUAGAUAUAGGAAGGAACACCAGUGGCGAAGGAGACCACCUGGACUGAUACUGACACUGAGGUGCGAAAGCGUGGGGAGCAAACAGGAUUAGAUACCCCAGUAGUCCCUGUCUCUUAUAA